AUUGAACGCUGGCGGCAUGCCUUACACAUGCAAGUCGAACGGCAGCACGGGAGCAAUCCUGGUGGCGAGUGGCGAACGGGUGAGUAAUAUAUCGGAACGUGCCCAGUCGUGGGGAUACCGUAGCGAAAGCUACGCCAAUACCGCAUACGAUCUAUGGAUGAAAGCGGGGGAUCGCAAGACCUCGCGCGAUUGGAGCGGCCGAUAUCAGAUUAGGUAGUUGGUGAGGUAAAGGCUCACCAAGCCGACGAUCUGUAGCUGGUCUGAGAGGACGACCAGCCACACUGGGACUGAGACACGGCCCAGACUCCUACGGGAGGCAGCAGUGGGGAAUUUUGGACAAUGGGCGCAAGCCUGAUCCAGCAAUGCCGCGUGCAGGAUGAAGGCC
This 385-nucleotide ribosomal RNA is filed under the name uncultured bacterium. RNAcentral describes it as "bacterial SSU rRNA". It matches the Rfam family "Bacterial small subunit ribosomal RNA", at positions 30 to 416 of the family's 1533-position model. The record is from RNAcentral.